AGCCAGACUCCUACGGGAGGCAGCAGUGGGGAAUAUUGCACAAUGGGGGAAACCCUGAUGCAGCGACGCCGCGUGAAGGAAGAAGUAUUUCGGUAUGUAAACUUCUAUCAGCAGGGAAGAAAAUGACGGUACCUGACUAAGAAGCCCCGGCUAACUACGUGCCAGCAGCCGCGGUAAUACGUAGGGGGCAAGCGUUAUCCGGAUUUACUGGGUGUAAAGGGAGCGUAGGCGGUUCAGCAAGUCAGAUGUGAAAGCCCGGGGCUCAACCCCGGGACUGCAUUUGGAACUGCGUGGCUUGAGUGUCGGAGAGGCAGGCGGAAUUCCUAGUGUAGCGGUGAAAUGCGUAGAUAUUAGGAGGAACACCAGUGGCGAAGGCGGCCUGCUGGACGAUGACUGACGUUGAGGCUCGAAAGCGUGGGGAGCAAACAGGAUUAGAUACCCCUGUAUUU
RNAcentral lists this ribosomal RNA (449 nucleotides) under uncultured bacterium. Its description in RNAcentral is "bacterial SSU rRNA". It matches the Rfam family "Bacterial small subunit ribosomal RNA", at positions 329 to 795 of the family's 1533-position model. The record is from RNAcentral.